UUGAACACAAUUGUCUGCAGGCGACGUUCAAGGAAGUUCUCCACAGUCAAAGCCAAAACAUAAUCAAGCUUGUUCUGACCCUCUUCCAAGAGCCCGUACCGGUUCAUCCUCCGGAGGAGAGCCUCGCCCUCGAAGAUACGACGAGGGUUCUUCUCAUCCAGGGUCAGAAGCAUCCUUGCAUUGUUCCUGAUACGGCUCAGAGCAUACUGAACCCUCCACAGCUCUCUCUUGCACCGGAGCCCAUACUCUCCAACAAGCUUCAGCUCAGCAUCCAAACGCUCCUUCUCAUAGGGGCGAC
This 298-nucleotide long non-coding RNA is filed under the name Prunus persica (peach). RNAcentral's name for it is "long non-coding RNA (PPER_LNC005515)". The record is from RNAcentral. Lineage: Eukaryota; Viridiplantae; Streptophyta; Magnoliopsida; Rosales; Rosaceae.